CGGGACCGGGGGGACCUGGCCGGCAGCCGGGGCUGGAGGCGGAGCGGCGGCCGGAGCCCUGCCCUGGAGCCCCGGAGGCAGCUGCGUCCAGAGGGUCCGUGCAGGGAUGGAUGCAACAGCGGAGCAGCAUGAGGACAGCAGCCGGCCACGGGGGCGAGGGGGACCUCGUGCCCCCCUGGGGUGGUCUUGCAUGGGCAUGCGAUGGCUGAGCCCGGCUCUCCACCUUGCGCUGCCACCAUCCCGCUCCCUCCGCUGUGGCCGUUCCUGCUGCCGGCGUUGAUCCUGCUGGCGCGGCCCAAGCCGAAGCCGCCUGGGUCCCGGAGCCUGCCAGGAAGCUCUGCCUCUGGCUCUUUGCUGCUGACCUGGGCUCUCCGGAGAGCAAACCCAGCCCUACGUCACCUUGCUCCGGCUCCGGGGAGGAGCAGCCCCGUGGGGACGUGCAAGAGGGGCGGCCGUGCUGGCAGAGGCGUGCGGCUUGGCGGCUCGGGGAAUCGCUUUGGGGCUCCAGCUUGAGGCCACCAGGGCAGAGACAACCUGGCUCCUGCCCGAGGACCCCGAGGACAGCCUGGUCCUGUCCCAGGCCACCGCCGGGCACGCCACCUCAUGCGUGGCCCUGAGCUUGCCCGCACACUCGGCCGGGAGGACGCCGGGAGCUCGCCAGCCCCGCUCGGCCCCUUCCAACCCGGUCGUUGCCUUCUCCGGCAUCAGUGGGAAGCAGGAGGUCCCUCACGACCAGGUUCCUCUUCCACAGCUCAAGCCCUGCCGCUCGGAGCAGAUGCAGAGGGGCUGCCGCGGCCGGACGCUGCUGCACGUGGGAGUCCUGGGAUGACGCAUGGCUCCAGCGCCUCCGUCCCACGGGCAUCUUCCCUGGCCCGGAGCCCGCGCUCCCGCCUCUCACCUGCCCCGGGGCUGCCCUUGCCUCCGCUCCGCUCGCGGGUCUCUCUCUGCAAGUUUACAGAAUUAAAGCUCAGUAUUUUAGAGGCCUGGCAUCCGCCUGUUUUUCUAUGCGUGAGAAAGCGCUGA
This 1023-nucleotide long non-coding RNA is filed under the name Apteryx owenii (little spotted kiwi). RNAcentral describes it as "lncRNA (ENSAOWG00000013535.1)". Lineage: Eukaryota; Metazoa; Chordata; Aves; Apterygiformes; Apterygidae. The record is from RNAcentral.